GGUCCGUUCGGCUAGCCAGGUCAGGCCCCCAGGUUUUCAUCCUGGUAACACGGGUUCGAAUCCCGUACGGACUA
RNAcentral lists this transfer RNA (74 nucleotides) under Bacteroidota bacterium. RNAcentral describes it as "Bacteroidetes bacterium (marine metagenome) tRNA-Glu". It matches the Rfam family "tRNA". Rfam says of the family: Transfer RNA (tRNA) molecules are approximately 80 nucleotides in length. RNAcentral also lists the same sequence under 1 other name. The record is from RNAcentral. Lineage: Bacteria; Pseudomonadati; Bacteroidota.